GAGUUUGAUCAUGGCUCAGAUUGAACGCUGGCGGCAUGCCUUACACAUGCAAGUCGAACGGCAGCAUGAUCUAGCUUGCUAGAUUGAUGGCGAGUGGCGAACGGGUGAGUAAUACAUCGGAACGUGCCCUGUAGUGGGGAGUAACUAGUCGAAGAUUAGCUAAUACCGCAUACGACCUGAGGGUGAAAGUGGGGGACCGCAAGGCCUCAUGCUAUAGGAGCGGCCGGAUGUCUGAUUAGCUAGUUGGUGGGGUAAAGGCCCACCAAGGCGACGAUCAGUAGCUGGUCUGAGAGGACGAUCAGCCACACUGGGACUGAGACACGGCCCAGACGUCCUACGGGAGGCAGCAGUGGGGAAUUUUGGACAAUGGGCGAAAGCCUGAUCCAGCAAUGCCGCGUGUGUGAAGAAGGCCUGGUUGUAAGCACUUUGU
Molecule: ribosomal RNA, 430 nt
Filed under: uncultured microorganism
Description: bacterial SSU rRNA
Rfam family: Bacterial small subunit ribosomal RNA
Source: RNAcentral